GAUGAACGCUGGCGGCGUGCCUAAUACAUGCAAGUCGAGCGAACGGACGCGAAGCUUGCUUCUCUGAUGUUAGCGGCGGACGGGUGAGUAACACGUGUAUAACCUACCUAUCAGACUGGGAUAACUUCGGGAAACCGGAGCUAAUACCGGAUAAUAUUUUGCACCGCAUGGUUCAAAAGUGAAAGACGGUCUUGCUGUCACUUCUAGAUGCAUCCGCGCUGCAUUAGCUAGUUGGUAAGGUAACGGCUUACCAAGGCAACGAUGCAUAGACGACGUGAGAGGGUGAUCGGCCACACUGGAAGUGAGACACGGUCCAGACUCCUAAGGGAGGCAGCAGUAGGGAAUCUUACGCAAUGGGCGAAAGCAUGACGGAGCAACGCCGCGUGAGAGAUGGAGGUCUUCGGAUCGGAAAACUCUGUUAUUAGGGAAGAACAGAUGUGGAAGUAAAUGUGCACAGCUUGACGGUACCGAAUCAGAAAGCCACGGCUAACUACGUG
This 497-nucleotide ribosomal RNA is filed under the name uncultured bacterium. Its description in RNAcentral is "partial 16S ribosomal RNA". It matches the Rfam family "Bacterial small subunit ribosomal RNA", at positions 28 to 507 of the family's 1533-position model. The record is from RNAcentral.